Molecule: ribosomal RNA, 215 nt
Filed under: uncultured bacterium
Lineage: Bacteria
Description: partial 16S ribosomal RNA
Rfam family: Bacterial small subunit ribosomal RNA
Source: RNAcentral
UACGUAGGGCGCAAGCGUUGUCCGGAAUUAUUGGGCGUAAAGAGCUCGUAGGCGGCUUGUCACGUCUGCUGUGAAAUCCCACGGCUCAACCGUGGAACUGCUGGGCAUACUGGACAUCUUGAGGCACUCAAGGGCGAGCGGAACAAGGUGGUGGAGCGGUGAAAUGCGUAGAUAAUCACUUGGAACGCCAAUGGUGAAGACGAGCUCGCUGGGGG